This 766-nucleotide ribosomal RNA is filed under the name uncultured beta proteobacterium. Its description in RNAcentral is "bacterial SSU rRNA". It matches the Rfam family "Bacterial small subunit ribosomal RNA", at positions 8 to 772 of the family's 1533-position model. The record is from RNAcentral. Lineage: Bacteria; Pseudomonadati; Pseudomonadota; Betaproteobacteria.
AGAGUUUGAUCCUGGCUCAGAUUGAACGCUGGCGGCAUGCCUUACACAUGCAAGUCGAACGGUAACGCGGGGCAACCUGGCGACGAGUGGCGAACGGGUGAGUAAUGCAUCGGAACGUGCCCGGUAGUGGGGGAUAACUGCUCGAAAGAGCAGCUAAUACCGCAUACGACCUGAGGGUGAAAGGGGGGGAUCGCAAGACCUCCCGCUAUCGGAGCGGCCGAUGUCGGAUUAGCUAGUUGGUGGGGUAAAGGCCCACCAAGGCAACGAUCCGUAGCUGGUCUGAGAGGACGACCAGCCACACUGGGACUGAGACACGGCCCAGACUCCUACGGGAGGCAGCAGUGGGGAAUUUUGGACAAUGGACGCAAGUCUGAUCCAGCAAUGCCGCGUGCGGGAAGAAGGCCUUCGGGUUGUAAACCGCUUUUGUUAGGGAAGAAAUCUUCUGGGUUAAUACCUCGGGAGGAUGACGGUACCUAAAGAAUAAGCACCGGCUAACUACGUGCCAGCAGCCGCGGUAAUACGUAGGGUGCGAGCGUUAAUCGGAAUUACUGGCGUAAAGCGUGCGCAGGCGGUUAUACAAGACAGGUGUGAAAUCCCCGAGCUCAACUUGGGAACUGCACUUGUGACUGUAUAGCUAGAGUACGGUAGAGGGGAGUGGAAUUCCGCGUGUAGCAGUGAAAUGCGUAGAUAUGCGGAGGAACACCGAUGGCGAAGGCAGCUCCCUGGACCUGUACUGACGCUCAUGCACGAAAGCGUGGGGAGCAAA